UGCUGCCCGCGUGAGGGAUAGAAGCGGCAUCCUUUUUUUGCCGGGUAAAACCCGGAAAAAAAAGAUAGAGCGGAGAGCCCGGCCCGAA
This 88-nucleotide small RNA is filed under the name Kaistella treverensis. RNAcentral describes it as "Chryseobacterium sp. IMMIB L-1519 Flavo-1 RNA". It matches the Rfam family "Flavo-1 RNA". Lineage: Bacteria; Pseudomonadati; Bacteroidota; Flavobacteriia; Flavobacteriales; Weeksellaceae. The record is from Rfam by way of RNAcentral.